UCCGGUGGCUAUAGCAUAGGGGAAACACCCGAUCCCAUUUCGAACUCGGAAGUUAAGCCCUAUAGCGCCAAUGGUACUGCGCGGGAGACUAGCGUGGGAGAGUAGGACGUUGCCGGGA
RNAcentral lists this ribosomal RNA (118 nucleotides) under Fidelibacterota bacterium. The record is from RNAcentral. Lineage: Bacteria; Pseudomonadati; Fidelibacterota.